Molecule: ribosomal RNA, 403 nt
Filed under: uncultured microorganism
Description: bacterial SSU rRNA
Rfam family: Archaeal small subunit ribosomal RNA
Source: RNAcentral
GCGCACCAGGCGCGAAACCUCCGCAAUACACGAAAGUGUGACGGGGCCAUCCCGAGUGCCGUCCGCUGAGGACGGCUUUUCCCCAGUGUACACAGCUGGGGGAAUAAGGAGAGGGCAAGCCUGGUGUCAGCCGCCGCGGUAAUACCAGCUCUCCGAGUGGUGGGGACGCUUAUUGGGCCUAAAGCAUCCGUAGCCGGCUGGGCAAGUCCUCCGUUAAAUCCAACGAUUCAAUCGUUGGGCUGCGGGGGAUACUGUCCAGCUUGGGGGCGGGAGAGGCCGACGGUAUUCCCGGGGUAGGGGUGAAAUCCUAUAAUCCCGGGAGGACCACCAGUGGCGAAGGCUGUCGGCUAGAACGCGCCCGACGGUGAGGGAUGAAAGCUGGGGGAGCGAACCGGAUUAGAUA